AUUGAACGCUGGCGGCAUGCCUUACACAUGCAAGUCGAACGGCAGCACGGGUGCUUGCACCUGGUGGCGAGUGGCGAACGGGUGAGUAAUACAUCGGAACAUGUCCUGUAGUGGGGGAUAGCCCGGCGAAAGCCGGAUUAAUACCGCAUACGAUCUACGGAUGAAAGCGGGGGACCUUCGGGCCUCGCGCUAUAGGGUUGGCCGAUGGCUGAUUAGCUAGUUGGUGGGGUAAAGGCCUACCAAGGCGACGAUCAGUAGCUGGUCUGAGAGGACGACCAGCCACACUGGGACUGAGACACGGCCCAGACUCCUACGGGAAGCAGCAGUGGGGAAUUUUGGACAAUGGGCGAAAGCCUGAUCCAGCAAUGCCGCGUGUGUGAAAAAGGCCUUCGGGUUGUAAAGCACUUUUGUCCGGAAAGAAAUCCUUGGCCCUAAUACGGUCGGGGGAUGACGGUACCGGAAGAAUAAGCACCGGCUAACUACGUG
RNAcentral lists this ribosomal RNA (486 nucleotides) under uncultured bacterium. RNAcentral's name for it is "partial 16S ribosomal RNA". It matches the Rfam family "Bacterial small subunit ribosomal RNA", at positions 30 to 507 of the family's 1533-position model. The record is from RNAcentral.